This 732-nucleotide ribosomal RNA is filed under the name uncultured bacterium. RNAcentral's name for it is "bacterial SSU rRNA". It matches the Rfam family "Bacterial small subunit ribosomal RNA", at positions 771 to 1501 of the family's 1533-position model. The record is from RNAcentral.
AACAGGAUUAGAUACCCUGGUAGUCCAUGCCGUAAACGAUGUCUACUAGCCGUUGGGGCCUUUGAGGCUUUAGUGGCGCAGCUAACGCGAUAAGUAGACCGCCUGGGGAGUACGGUCGCAAGACUAAAACUCAAAUGAAUUGACGGGGGCCCGCACAAGCGGUGGAGCAUGUGGUUUAAUUCGAUGCAACGCGAAGAACCUUACCUGGUCUUGACAUAGUAAGAACUUUCCAGAGAUGGAUUGGUGCCUUCGGGAACUUACAUACAGGUGCUGCAUGGCUGUCGUCAGCUCGUGUCGUGAGGUGUUGGGUUAAGUCCCGCAACGAGCGCAACCCUUUUCCUUAUUUGCCAGCGGGUUAAGCCGGGAACUUUAAGGAUACUGCCAGUGACAAACUGGAGGAAGGCGGGGACGACGUCAAGUCAUCAUGGCCCUUACGACCAGGGCUACACACGUGCUACAAUGGUCGGUACAAAGGGUUGCUACCUAGCGAUAGGAUGCUAAUCUCAAAAAGCCGAUCGUAGUCCGGAUUGGAGUCUGCAACUCGACUCCAUGAAGUCGGAAUCGCUAGUAAUCGCGGAUCAGAAUGCCGCGGUGGAUACGUUCCCGGGCCUUGUACACACCGCCCGUCACACCAUGGGAGUUUGUUGCACCAGAAGUAGGUAGUCUAACCGCAGGGAGGACGCUUACCACGGUGUGGCCGAUGACUGGGGGUGAAGUCGUAACAAGGUAACC